RNAcentral lists this ribosomal RNA (301 nucleotides) under uncultured bacterium. RNAcentral's name for it is "partial 16S ribosomal RNA". It matches the Rfam family "Bacterial small subunit ribosomal RNA", at positions 509 to 807 of the family's 1533-position model. The record is from RNAcentral.
CAGUCGCCGCGGUAAUACGAAGGGGGCUAGCGUUGUUCGGAAUUACUGGGCGUAAAGCGCACGUAGGCGGACAUUUAAGUCAGGGGUGAAAUCCCGGGGCUCAACCCCGGAACUGCCUUUGAUACUGGGUGUCUAGAGUAUGGAAGAGGUGAGUGGAAUUCCGAGUGUAGAGGUGAAAUUCGUAGAUAUUCGGAGGAACACAAGUGGCGAAGGCGGCUCACUGGUCCAUUACUGACGCUGAGGUGCGAAAGCGUGGGGAGCAAACAGGAUUAGAUACCCCCGUAGUCCCUGUCUCUUAUAC